This 1088-nucleotide long non-coding RNA is filed under the name Rattus norvegicus (Norway rat). RNAcentral's name for it is "long non-coding RNA NONRATT008582". Lineage: Eukaryota; Metazoa; Chordata; Mammalia; Rodentia; Muridae. The record is from RNAcentral.
CUUCUCCGAAACAAAUUUUAAAUGAACCAACCCAUGUCUCUUUACUGUCAUGGCAUGCGCUGGGCCGGAGGCAGGUCUUGAGCAAGGACCACAGGACGUGGAUACACAGCCUGCACCUUCCGGCUUUAGCUGUUACCUGGUGGUUGAGGAGAGACUGGGAAACAAAGAGUUACCAUGUGCAGACUGAACACGGAGAUUUCAGAUGAAUUAUGCUUCGAGACACUUUGUCCUUUUUGGGGGGGGGGGGACAAACACACAGUGUGGUGCACCACUGUCUGGUAAGUGCUGGCUACCUGGUCUCUCUAAGCGAGCUUCUGUGGAUGUCAUCUGUAGUGAAGUGCCGCUUCCCAGCGGCUAUCCUGACAGGUGACUGAUGGACUGCUCUCUUCCUGAGGGUGUGGGCAUCAGAUCCAAAAUAUCAGUCAAUGUUCUGGCUGUGGUGGGCAUGCUGCCUCAUCAGCCUUGCCCUCCCAGGGCAGUGGCAGGUUCCUCCACGGGGCAUGUGACAGCCUUUGCGUUGCUGUGAUCUCGCAUGGCCAACCCCACUUCUCUGCUUACUGCUGGAGCGGGGCUCAAGUGUUUUGGCUGCUGGAGGUCCAAGUUAGGCCUUUGUUUAUGCUAGGGAUGAGCUCUGCCACUGAAUGAUACCUCAGGCUCCCCAUUUCUCGCUUCCAUGUCUUGUUCUCUGGUUCCUAGGGUCCUGUUUUAGCCUCCACCUCUUAGAGUCUCUGCUGCUUUAACAGCAGGGAUAAUUGGGCAAGGGGUAGAAACACACCACCACCCCACCAUCCGCAGGCUUCAGCCUCCGUAUCCUUCAGUGGAAGGAGAGAAUAUUAAGCCAAAAUGCUGGGUGUGUCCAGGUUGGAACAGGGACUGAGUGAACUCUCCAGAAAUACCAGUCAGAGACAGACAUCUCUCUGUGACACUGACAUCUCACAGGUAUACUCUGUGGGCUCUCAGGAGCCCCGGUGAAGGUACAUGUCGUAGAUGUACACGCAACUAAUUGUAUUUUGUUUUGCAAUAAAGAUGUUUAGCCUUAAGACCCUUGAGUGGAAGUCCAGCUGCCGUGGGGGUGCCAGUACCCCUUU